UACGUAGGUGGCAAGCGUUGUCCGGAUUUAUUGGGUUUAAAGGGUGCGUAGGCGGUCUUCUAAGUCAGUUGUGAAAUACUUCAGCUUAACUGGAGAGGUGCAAUUGAUACUGGAAGACUUGAGUACUGAUGAGGUAGGCGGAAUGGACGGUGUAGCGGUGAAAUGCUUAGAUAUCGUCAAGAACACCUAUAGCGAAGGCAGCUUACUAGGCUGUAACUGACGCUGAGGCACGAAAGCUAGGGGAGCGAACGGG
This 253-nucleotide ribosomal RNA is filed under the name uncultured bacterium. Its description in RNAcentral is "partial 16S ribosomal RNA". It matches the Rfam family "Bacterial small subunit ribosomal RNA", at positions 524 to 776 of the family's 1533-position model. The record is from RNAcentral.